UGGCACCAGACAGUCUCGGUGGCAAGGUGU
This 30-nucleotide non-coding RNA is filed under the name Homo sapiens (human). Lineage: Eukaryota; Metazoa; Chordata; Mammalia; Primates; Hominidae. The record is from RNAcentral.